Molecule: unclassified non-coding RNA, 246 nt
Filed under: plant metagenome
Description: partial contains small subunit ribosomal RNA, internal transcribed spacer 1, and 5.8S ribosomal RNA
Source: RNAcentral
UUUCCGUAGGUGAACCAGCGGAAGGAUCAUUAGUGAAUCUGCUAUAUAGAACGCGUCCUUUUGUGAAGCCAAUGGCCAUAUAUAUAGAAUCAUUCAGAGAUUAAACAUGUUGGUUCUUGCGAGUCGGCGCUCCCACAAAAGAUCACAAAUCUCUUUUUAAAACCCAAUAUCUUAUUUAUCUGACUGAUUAUUUUAUAUCAAUAAUAUUGAAAAAAAUAACUUUCAACAACGGAUCUCUUGGUUCUC